Molecule: ribosomal RNA, 464 nt
Filed under: uncultured bacterium
Lineage: Bacteria
Description: partial 16S ribosomal RNA
Rfam family: Bacterial small subunit ribosomal RNA
Source: RNAcentral
CGGGGGGCUGCACCAGUGGGGAAUAUUGCACAAUGGGCGCAAGCCUGAUGCAGCCAUGCCGCGUGUAUGAAGAAGGCCUUCGGGUUGUAAAGUACUUUCAGCGGGGAGGAAGGGAGUAAAGUUAAUACCUUUGCUCAUUGACGUUACCCGCAGAAGAAGCACCGGCUAACUCCGUGCCAGCAGCCGCGGUAAUACGGAGGGUGCAAGCGUUAAUCGGAAUUACUGGGCGUAAAGCGCACGCAGGCGGUUUGUUAAGUCAGAUGUGAAAUCCCCGGGCUCAACCUGGGAACUGCAUCUGAUACUGGCAAGCUUGAGUCUCGUAGAGGGGGGUAGAAUUCCAGGUGUAGCGGUGAAAUGCGUAGAGAUCUGGAGGAAUACCGGUGGCGAAGGCGGCCCCCUGGACGAAGACUGACGCUCAGGUGCGAAAGCGUGGGGAGCAAACAGGAUUAGAUACCCGCGUAGUC